CAAAGGUAGCAUAAUCAUUAGAGGUUUAAUUGGAAUCUGGUAUGAAUGGUCGGACAAAGGAAAAACUGUCUUUAUAAUAAAAAUUGAAAUUUACAUUUAAGUGAAAAGGCUUAAAUAGGCCAGGGGGACGAUAAGACCCUAUAAAGCUUUAUAAAUAAUUUAAAUUUAGUUAAUUUAAAUUAUAAAAGCUAAGUUUGGUUGUUUUAUUUUGUUGGGGUGAUGUGAGCAUAAUUAAAAUUAACUGCUUAAAAAAAAUUCUGUAUAAAAGAAUUAUAGUAAUAUGAUCCUUUUUAAAGAUUAAAAGACUAAGUUACUUUAGGGGUAACAGCGUUAUUUCUUUUGAGAGUUCAUAUCGAAAAAGAAGAUUGCGACCUCGAUGUUGAAUUAGAGUAUCUAUAUAAUGCAGCCGUUAUAAAAGAGGGUCUGUUCGACCUUUAAAUUUUUACAUGAUUUGAGUU
RNAcentral lists this ribosomal RNA (458 nucleotides) under Leptodius nigromaculatus. RNAcentral describes it as "partial 16S ribosomal RNA". It matches the Rfam family "Bacterial large subunit ribosomal RNA", at positions 1951 to 2611 of the family's 2925-position model. Lineage: Eukaryota; Metazoa; Arthropoda; Malacostraca; Decapoda; Xanthidae. The record is from RNAcentral.